RNAcentral lists this ribosomal RNA (496 nucleotides) under uncultured bacterium. RNAcentral describes it as "partial 16S ribosomal RNA". It matches the Rfam family "Bacterial small subunit ribosomal RNA", at positions 29 to 507 of the family's 1533-position model. The record is from RNAcentral.
AUGAACGCUGGCGGCGUGCCUAAUACAUGCAAGUCGAGCGAACAGACGAGGAGCUUGCUCCUCUGACGUUAGCGGCGGACGGGUGAGUAACACGUGGAUAACCUACCUAUAAGACUGGGAUAACUUCGGGAAACCGGAGCUAAUACCGGAUAAUAUAUUGAACCGCAUGGUUCAAUAGUGAAAGACGGUUUUGCUGUCACUUAUAGAUGGAUCCGCGCCGCAUUAGCUAGUUGGUAAGGUAACGGCUUACCAAGGCAACGAUGCGUAGCCGACCUGAGAGGGUGAUCGGCCACACUGGAACUGAGACACGGUCCAGACUCCUACGGGAGGCAGCAGUAGGGAAUCUUCCGCAAUGGGCGAAAGCCUGACGGAGCAACGCCGCGUGAGUGAUGAAGGUCUUCGGAUCGUAAAACUCUGUUAUUAGGGAAGAACAAAUGUGUAAGUAACUAUGCGCGUCUUGACGGUACCUAAUCAGAAAGCCACGGCUAACUACGUG